Long non-coding RNA from Hirundo rustica (Barn swallow), 277 nucleotides. RefSeq lists it as uncharacterized. The record is from RefSeq and is a predicted model, not a curated record. Lineage: Eukaryota; Metazoa; Chordata; Aves; Passeriformes; Hirundinidae. The transcript is spliced from 3 exons.
GUAUUUUGACACACCAGUAGAGAGGUUUUGGAAAAAAAAUCAGGUUCCUGUGAUUUUCAUCACAUUAAUCUAAGAGUGAGGGUUCAGCAGACAUGAGGAGGAGGCUAACACUGUGGACGAUGCUUUGUCAUAGCAGCUUUCUCUGGAGAGGACAAAACGUCUCAGAAGAGAUUUCUGCAAUUCACAUGCCCUGAGGCUGACUGCGGAGGUGGAGAACAUAUCCUAGGUGGCACAGACACAAUGAAUGGGUCAAACUUCAGCCUGAUAUAAAAAAAAU